Molecule: ribosomal RNA, 464 nt
Filed under: uncultured Thauera sp.
Lineage: Bacteria; Pseudomonadati; Pseudomonadota; Betaproteobacteria; Rhodocyclales; Zoogloeaceae
Description: bacterial SSU rRNA
Rfam family: Bacterial small subunit ribosomal RNA
Source: RNAcentral
ACGGGACCGCACAAGCGGUGGAUGAUGUGGAUUAAUUCGAUGCAACGCGAAAACCUUACCUACCCUUGACAUGUCUGGAACCUUGGUGAGAGCCGAGGGUGCCUUCGGGAGCCAGAACACAGGUGCUGCAUGGCUGUCGUCAGCUUGUGUCGUGAGAUGUUGGGUUAAGUCCCGCAACGAGCGCAACCCUUGUCACUAGUUGCCAUCAUUUAGUUGGGCACUCUAGUGAGACUGCCGGUGACAAACCGGAGGAAGUGGGGAUGACGUCAAGUCAUCAUGGCCCUUACGGCCAGGGCUACACACGUGCUACAAUGGUCGGUACAGAGGGUUGCCAAGCCGCGAGGUGGAGCUAAUCUCACAAAACCGAUCGUAGUCCGGAUCGCAGUCUGCAACUCGACUGCGUGAAGUCGGAAUCGCUAGUAAUCGUGAAUCAGAAUGUCACGGUGAAUACGUUCCCGGGCCUU